GACGGGGCCCCGCACAAGCAGCGGAGCGUGUGGUUUAAUUCGAUGCUACACGAAGAACCUUACCAGGGUUUGACAUGCAAGUGGUAGGAAGCCGAAAGGUGACCCGACCCUUCGGGGAGCUUGCACAGGUGCUGCAUGGCUGUCGUCAGCUCGUGUCGUGAGAUGUUCGGUUAAGUCCGCUAACGAGCGCAACCCUCGCUGUGUGUUAUAUGUGUCACACGGGACUGCCGGUCUUAAGCCGGAGGAAGGUGGGGAUGAUGUCAAGUCAGCAUGGCCUUUAUAUCCUGGGCUACACACACGCUACAAUGGCCAACACAAUAGGUUGCCAAGCCGCGAGGCGGAGCCAAUCCACAAAGCCGGCCUCAGUUCAGAUUGUAGGCUGCAACUCGCCUGCAUGAAGAUGGAGUUGCUAGUAACCGCAGGUCAGCAAUACUGCGGUGAAUACGUUCCCGGGUCUU
RNAcentral lists this ribosomal RNA (458 nucleotides) under uncultured Leptolinea sp. RNAcentral describes it as "bacterial SSU rRNA". It matches the Rfam family "Bacterial small subunit ribosomal RNA", at positions 912 to 1382 of the family's 1533-position model. Lineage: Bacteria; Bacillati; Chloroflexota; Anaerolineae; Anaerolineales; Anaerolineaceae. The record is from RNAcentral.